Molecule: transfer RNA, 68 nt
Filed under: Oides livida
Lineage: Eukaryota; Metazoa; Arthropoda; Insecta; Coleoptera; Chrysomelidae
Description: tRNA-Met
Source: RNAcentral
UAAAAGAUAAGCUAAUUAAGCUUUUGGGUUCAUACCUCAUCUAUAAAGGUCAACUCCUUUUCUUUUUA